Lemur catta (Ring-tailed lemur) is the source of this 627-nucleotide long non-coding RNA. RefSeq lists it as uncharacterized. The record is from RefSeq and is a predicted model, not a curated record. The transcript is spliced from 4 exons. Lineage: Eukaryota; Metazoa; Chordata; Mammalia; Primates; Lemuridae.
AUGGGUGAUGGGUUUCCAUGGAAGAACAAUGGUUUUGGUCAACCCCUUGCAAAUCCUACAGGGGAGGCCUUCACAUCUGUUGUCUCAGCUUUGGAGCAUGGCCAAAAUGUUAAGAUGGGAAGAGUCCCAUUUGAACAUCCUGCUUCACCAAGGAAGAAAAUACUGUUGAAGACAAGUAGUCAAGGAGCUUAUCAAAUUUACCGUCUCAUUUGAGAAGUCUCUUACAAUGGCAAAUCUGAACUAUUUUGAACAAGCAAAUCAUGAAAGUCCUCCAGUGGCCACAGUAAACAUAAAGGCUGAAUUUUGAUUCCAUUGGUCCAGAUGGGAGCCAGCUUUUUAAAAAAAAAGUCUUCAGGUGAUUCUUAUGUGUACCCAAGGUUGAGAACUACUGAAUUAGAUGCUCACUUGAGGUUUUACUGGUUUAAAAUUAAGCCACAGGUUUGGAUGAAAUUGUCAGAACAUGUGGAAGAAUAAGAGAAAAGCCAACGACAGACCUCAGGGAUCGUCUGUGUUAAGUGUGGAUGGAGGAAGAAGAGAGGCCAGAAAGUAAGAAGAGAACCAGGAGAGAAGAGUUUCCGGGACAUCAAAGAGGAGGAAGUUUGAAGAAAGGUAGACCAGUCAGCAGUG